Molecule: long non-coding RNA, 406 nt
Organism: Leptopilina heterotoma
Lineage: Eukaryota; Metazoa; Arthropoda; Insecta; Hymenoptera; Figitidae
Exons: 3
Source: RefSeq, a predicted model, not a curated record
AUCCCCUCAUUUGAUGGCCAGAAUUUCGCUGCGAAAUUUCAGAUGCCAGCAACAAAAAAUUCGCGUCAUGAGGAUCGAGGUUUCCGUGGAAGGAAAUUCAAUUAAAAUUAUUCUACCAUUGAUGGCCUCUAUUAUGUUUCGAAAAACCAAACAAAAAAUCCAAGUCAUUUUUCUCUCUUCUUACAUUGAAUGGCUAUUUUGGAGUUUUUCACAUUAUUCUCAUCCCCGGGAACAAACGACUUGAAUAUUAAAAUUUAUCUGAGGUGCGAUUCUUCAAGGAUGGAAAUUUAACUAAACUUCUUCCUUUGAAAAUUUGUGUGGAUACAAUCCGUCAAUGUGGACCAUAAACAUUUGGAAAGCAAACACUGGGGGAUUAUUUUGAAGUGACCUGGCAGUAAUUAUAUUG